CAGAGAAUACAUUCAUAUAAACAACAUCUUCUACAACAAUUCAACCAAAACCUAAUUUUCAGAGAAUAAAAAAUUACAAAAACCAAAUAUUAGAAUUAGGGGUAGAUUAUAGCUUAACCCUUUGAUGUUAACAAGGUUCUAGCAAAUUCUUCUCAAUCCCACUCCUUCUCUAACUCUCAAUUCUCUGUAUUCUUUCUCUCUACCUCUCUGUUCUUCUUAG
This 220-nucleotide long non-coding RNA is filed under the name Panax ginseng (ginseng). Its description in RNAcentral is "long non-coding RNA (PGIN_LNC017926)". The record is from RNAcentral. Lineage: Eukaryota; Viridiplantae; Streptophyta; Magnoliopsida; Apiales; Araliaceae.